This 18-nucleotide small nuclear RNA is filed under the name Arabidopsis thaliana (thale cress). RNAcentral describes it as "snRNA_02947". The record is from RNAcentral. Lineage: Eukaryota; Viridiplantae; Streptophyta; Magnoliopsida; Brassicales; Brassicaceae.
AUGUUGUAUCAGGUCAAA